Molecule: long non-coding RNA, 397 nt
Organism: Carassius auratus (goldfish)
Lineage: Eukaryota; Metazoa; Chordata; Actinopteri; Cypriniformes; Cyprinidae
Exons: 2
Source: RefSeq, a predicted model, not a curated record
CCUGCAAGAACCGAAGUGGACAUAAAGAAGACCUUUUAGGGAUUCUGUGAUGUAAAGCAUGUAUUUGCUGAUUCAACAGAAGACCCUGAAGAUAUCUGCAUUGUGCUGGAAGAUGUGGAGGAGAUCCAUUACACUUUUAAGGUGCUCCAAAAAAUGAUUCUCGAGCUGAACUUGUGUAAAUUGUCUGCCAAAGCACAGGCGUAGAAAACAAAACUCUUCACUUAGGUGUGCUGUGUUUGAGGAUCCCUUUGUGAAUGCUGUUUUAUUUCCUUGUAUGCUCAUGUGAUUUUGUUGUAUCUGAAUUUUUGCACGAUGAGCAGAGGUGAUUACGUCUCUCAAUCACAUUUAAUAUAAUGUUUAAGAAAACAAAAUAAAAUAACAUUUUGUUAUAUUCUUA